ACAUAACACUAUACUACCCUGAACACACCAGAGUAGAUUUCAGAAGCUAAGCUGGGUAAGGCCUGGCUAGUACUUGGGCUGGGAGAUCACCAGGAAAUACCAGGGAUCUA
RNAcentral lists this ribosomal RNA (110 nucleotides) under Pogona vitticeps (central bearded dragon). Lineage: Eukaryota; Metazoa; Chordata; Lepidosauria; Squamata; Agamidae. The record is from RNAcentral.